This 3826-nucleotide long non-coding RNA is filed under the name Sus scrofa (pig). RNAcentral describes it as "lncRNA (ENSSSCG00025006956.1)". Lineage: Eukaryota; Metazoa; Chordata; Mammalia; Artiodactyla; Suidae. The record is from RNAcentral.
UUUUUUUUUUUUUUUUGCUUUUUAGGGCUGCACCUCCAGCAGAUGGAGGUUCCCAGGCUAGGGGUCUAAUCAGAGCUACAGCUACCGGCCUACACCACAGCCACAGCAACGCACGAUCCUUAACCUGCUGAGCAAGACUAGGGUUCGAACCCUCAACCUCAUGGUUCCUAGUCGGAUUUGUUUCCACUGCGCCAUGAUGAGAACUCCUACAACAUAUUUUUUAACAGAGUAAAGAUCUCCUGUUACCUGUUUUCCCACUCAAAAUUUCUCGGUCAUUUAACCAUUUCUUUAUUCUUCCAGAUAAGUGCUGGGGUCAUUUUGUCCAGUAUCCUCUCAAAGCCCCACUGGGAGGUGGAUUGAGAUUGUUUUAAAGGUUGCUACACUGAGAAGAACUAUUUUUAAAACAUUUUGGGAGUUCCAAUUGUGGCUCAGUGGAUUAAGAACCCAAGAAAGUCUCCAUGAGGAUACAGGUUGGAUCCCUGACAUCACUCAGUGGGUUAGGGAUUUGGCAUUGCCAUAAGCUGCAGUGUAGGUCACAGAUGCAGCUGGGAUUCAGUGUUGCUGUGGCUAUGGCAUAGGCUGCAGCUGAAGCUCCAAUUCAACCCCUAGCCUAGGAAAUUCUGUAUGCCACAGGUGUAGCCAUAAAAAGAAAAAUAAAUAAAAAUUAAAAAUAAAUUUUAAAAGAACAAAACAUUUCAUCUUCCAAGCAUGAAUAAAAAUUUUCAGAUUAAGUCAAAAGAACCCACACAGAAAAAUAAAUAAAAAUUAAAAAUAAAUUUUAAAAGAACAAAACAUUUCAUCUUCCAAGCAUGAAUAAAAAGUUUUCAGAUUAAGUCAAAAGAACCCACACAUUUUUUUUUUGAUGGUCUGAUGGUAUGGUUUGUCUGGUUUUGCUUUUCACAGAAUUUUUCCUCUGUACUGCUUCUGCUUUUUGGUAAUAUUAUAGGAAAGAUUUUUCCAAUGGAUUUUUCCAACUGUAUUAAUGAAUUCACUAAUUCUAAAAAGAUUUUAGUCUAUUGACUUGGGUUUUGAAGAUACGCAGUCUCGUGAAACCCCUAACUACAUCUUGUCCAGCCCAUUAAAUCUCCCUUUGUUUCUGUUUCAUGUCUUAAUAUGUUGGCAGCAGCAAUGUCACGUAAGGCUUUUUUUAAACUGGCCUUGAUAUUAAUGGGAAUAUCUAGGUUUCCCGCUAAUGUUUGUGUUCAGUUUGGCAUCGAUAUUAAUUGACAUUAUGAAAAGCUAUCCUUCUAUCUCGAGUUUCCUAUGGUUUUGUAAAAUGAGGAAUGCGUGAUUAAUUUUCUUAAAAGCCUUCUGGGUAUCUCAUAAUCUCCCUAUUUAUAAUGUCUAAAUGAUUACAGACAUCAGAAAGUAAACACAAGCGGAGAAUGAGGGAGAGUUCCAUUUUCAAAUGACCUCAAGGUAGAGCUUACACAGACAUUAACUAACCAUUGCCACACUGUCCCACCUGUACGUCAACUACUCUCCACGUGUGGUCACUUCCCUGAAGGGCACUCAGGGUGAGAGAAAUGCACUAACAGUCUGGGCCAUCCCUAUGAAUGUAGAGCCACAUUUAAAGGCACAUCUGUAAUUAAACACAGGCAUCUCAUCGCAGGCAACAAGCCCAGGUGUAAUUUGUGAGUAUUUCCAUGUGCCAGGAACCAUGUGAAAGGAAAAUUGAAAUGAUCAGAUCAGGGAAUGAUGAAAUAAAGGCAUAACCAUAUUCUGGAAUACAGGUCGGGUGACACCUUCUUACCAAUGUGAUUGGCAUUGAUAGACAGUUGAUGAAUGGGGAAAUCAUAAAAAGCGAUGUACCCCUACAGUCAAUAUUUUAAUUUAAGGAGUUCCCACUCUGACUCAGUGGGUUAAGAACCCGAUGAGCAUCCAUGAAGAUGCAGGUUCAAUCCCUGGCCUCGAUCAGUGGGUUAAGGAUCCGGUGUUGCUGUGAGCUAUGGCAUAGGUUGCAGACGCAGCUUGGAUCCCAUGUUGCUGUGACUGUGGCAUAGACUGGCAGCCGCAGCUCCAAUUCGACUCCUAGUCUGGGAACAUCCAUAUGCCACAGAUGUGGCCCUAAAAACCAAAAAAGAAAAAAAAUUAAUUUAAACUAAAGACACAGAAAUGAACCACCAUUAAUCAAUCUACUGAUGGAGAGCCCAGGCCCUUUCUUUUCAGUGAAAAUCAACCAAUUUUUCUUACAUUAAUUUAUUCAUAAAUCACAUAUAUUAUAAGGUAUCUUCUAUUUCCUAGGUUGGUUUUCAUAAAGUGACAUGUUUCCAUAUACCUAUGAAACUGAAUACAAAAGCCCGAUCAAUUUUCAAUGUGACUUAUAUCUAAUGCAACAGUGAAGUUUUAACAAAAUUUUCACCUUUUGUAUUUUCAGAGCAUUCAACUUGAGUUUUCCUUUCUUUGCAUAUCAUAUUCCUUUGCACUUAUGGGUUAUAUAAUUGUCACAUAUGUGUGCUCACAAACGUGGCUCCCAUAAGCAGACCUGGGAAGACUCAUGGUUCACAAGACACAGCCCCACUGUGGAAACAGAAACUUGGAGAUCUAGGGAAGAAGAAUCCAGCGGCCUCUCACCCUGCGGGGUCCUUGGCAACCGUCAGUUUAUUUACACAGGAAAUGGAGCUUCUAGUUUAUUUUGCAGCCAUUAAAAAGAAUAAGAAAGAAUUACACAACCAAUCCUUGAAGUAAACAAUGUUUGACAAUAUUAAGAAAGAGUUUCCCCCUAAGAAAGUAAAUAUGAACACUUUACACACACACACACACACACACACACACAGAGCUUUUGUAUAUAGAGAGAAAAAUUGGGAAGAUAGACACCAAAUUGAUAACAGUAACACAAUUUGGUCUUUGAGAAAUGGGAAGGCAGGAAUUAACAUGCCACACUCUUUUCAAUUUGAUUUUUUUCAGUUGAUAAUAUUACUUUUGCAACAUAAGUUUGUUUUUUACAAAAAAGGAUGUGAGUAGGGGAUUCCAUUUUGCAGAUGGACGAAUCAAAUGCCUUCCUAGAAGGAAUCAAUAGUGUUUAGCUGGGAUAAAUCAAGGGUUUCAUGUAUUAUUUCUUAGCGGCUGCUAUGGCUAUGGCAUGUGGAAGUUCCCGGGCCAGGGAUAGAACCCACACCACAACAGCAACCCCAGCUGCUGCAGUGGCAAUGCCCGAUCCUUAACCCACUGCACUACAAGGGAACUCCCAAGAUCACUCCCUUUAAGAAAAGUUGAAAAACUUAUGGUCUCCGGAGGAGACAGUUUGGGGGGUGGGGGGAUGUGCUUGGGCUGUGGGAUGGAAAUCCUGUAAAAUCAGAUUGUUAUGAUCAUUAUACAACUACAGAUGUGAUAAAUUCAUUUGAGUAAUAAAAAAAAAAGGAAAAAAAAAAAGAAGAAGUAGGCAAAGCUACUUCAGGCCAGGCCUGAACCAGCAGGGAGAAUGGCCCCACCUCCCACCCCUGUAAAAAGAUGCUCUGUGUGAGGCCAAGUGUAAACUGAUCAUGACCCUGACUCAAGAAAGGGAAUCUAGACAGAGACUCCCCAGAGCAAAGACGCCACCCAUGGGGCUGGACCCAGGUCUUCUGUCCUGUUGUCAAUUUCAAGCUGACCUUUGGGUGAUCUUGACCAGUGUCACCAAGGCUGACCUUGUAGAACGGAGGUGAAGAGUGGAGAGAGCCCAAAUGAGACGCUCAUGUGCCCAGGUCACAGUGGGCUGCCUGUCCAUAUCAUUCUGGGGGGGGGGGCAGGUCUUUCUUUGGAUUGACGUUGGUAAAGUUUGCACUUUAAAAUUUAAACACUGAAUCAGCUACAGAAGAAAGCACUGAUUAUUUAAAAAAAAAAAAAA